UACGUAGGGGGCGAGCGUUAUCCGGAAUUACUGGGUGUAAAGGGUGCGUAGGCGGCACGACAAGUCAGAAGUGAAAGGCUGGGGCUCAACCCCAGGACUGCUUUUGAAACUGUCGGGCUGGAGUACAGGAGAGGAAAGCGGAAUUCCUAGCGUAGCGGUGAAAUGCGUAGAUAUUAGGAAGAACACCAGUGGCGAAGGCGGCUUUCUGGACUGAAACUGACGCCGAGGCACGAAAGCGUGGGGAGCAAAC
Molecule: ribosomal RNA, 250 nt
Filed under: uncultured prokaryote
Description: partial 16S ribosomal RNA
Rfam family: Bacterial small subunit ribosomal RNA
Source: RNAcentral